CAGCUCUUCGCUUGUCUUUCUCGUUCCUUGUGGUGUUUAAGAGGGUUGUUGCUCUUUUUGUAGCAACUUUCUUGCGGGUUUUGCGUGCUGGUUCCUUGACGACUUUUGAAUGAUUCAAAUUGCAGGGUACUUGAAUGUAGUUGUUUUCCUGCGGUUCUCGGUGGUCUGCGGUUCCUUGGUGUGUAUUAAUAGAUGGUUUGGCCCUGCGAUGUAUUCGUUGCGGAGGGCUGUUGCUGUAUCCAUGGUCGCGUCCGAUGGUGAAAAUAUAAUUUAUCUCUUGUCGCAGAUCCUCGUUAUUAGUUGUAUAAUCGUACGCCCUUCUAAAAUAAUAUCGAAAUGCGGAAUCUUUGUACGAAAUUGGGUUUGUAGACCACCUAGGUAUUAGGACAGGCUGGAAAU
This 399-nucleotide long non-coding RNA is filed under the name Androctonus crassicauda. The record is from RNAcentral. Lineage: Eukaryota; Metazoa; Arthropoda; Arachnida; Scorpiones; Buthidae.